This 319-nucleotide ribosomal RNA is filed under the name uncultured Alphaproteobacteria bacterium. RNAcentral's name for it is "bacterial SSU rRNA". It matches the Rfam family "Bacterial small subunit ribosomal RNA", at positions 83 to 415 of the family's 1533-position model. The record is from RNAcentral. Lineage: Bacteria; Pseudomonadati; Pseudomonadota; Alphaproteobacteria.
CCUUCGGGGUUAGUGGCGCACGGGUGCGUAACGCGUGGGGAACCUGCCUUUAGGUUUGGAAAUAACAGUUAGAAAAUGACUGCUAAUACCAAAUAAUGUCUUCGGACCAAAGAUUUAUCGCCUUUAGAUGGGCCCGCGUUGGAUUAGAUAGUUGGUGGGGUAAUGGCCUACCAAGUCUACGAUCAGUAGCUGGUUUGAGAGGAUGAUCAGCAACACUGGGACUGAGCACACGGCCCAACUCCUACGGGAGGCAGCAGUGGGGAAUCUUAGACAAUGGGCGCAAAGCCUGAUCUANCGAUGCCGCGUGAGUGAUGAAGGU